RNAcentral lists this ribosomal RNA (453 nucleotides) under uncultured bacterium. RNAcentral describes it as "bacterial SSU rRNA". It matches the Rfam family "Bacterial small subunit ribosomal RNA", at positions 917 to 1382 of the family's 1533-position model. The record is from RNAcentral.
GGACCCGCACAAGCGGAGGAGCGCGUGGUUUAAUUCGACGGCAAUCGAAGAACCUUACCAGGGUUUGAAAUGUAUCUGCAUGCCCCUAGAAAUAGGGGAGGCUUUCGAAGGUGAUACACAGGUGCUGCAUGGCCGUCGUCAGCUCGUGUCGUGAGAUGUUGGGUUAAGUCCCGAAACGAGCGCAACCCCUAUCCUAUGUUACAAGUGUCUUAGGAAACUGCCUCGGUAAAACGGGGAGGAAGGUGGGGAUGACGUCUGGUCCGCAUAGCCCUUAUGUCCUGGGCGACACACGCGCUACAAUGGCCGAUACAAUGGGAAGCCAAAUCGUAAGAUGGAGCAAAUCCUAUAAAGUCGGUCUCAGUUCGGAUUGAGGUCUGAAACUCGACCUCAUGAAGUUGGAUUCGCUAGUAAUCGUGGAUCAGCCAUGCCACGGUGAAUACGUUCUCGGGUCUU